AUAGAAUCAACAGGGGGUCUUGUUAAAAUGCAUAUUUUAAUUCAGGAAUUCUGGGUGGAAUCUGAGAUUUUUGUAUUUCUAACAAGCUUCCAGGUGAUGUAGAU
RNAcentral lists this microRNA precursor (104 nucleotides) under Marmota monax (woodchuck). The record is from RNAcentral. Lineage: Eukaryota; Metazoa; Chordata; Mammalia; Rodentia; Sciuridae.